RNAcentral lists this ribosomal RNA (253 nucleotides) under uncultured prokaryote. RNAcentral's name for it is "partial 16S ribosomal RNA". It matches the Rfam family "Bacterial small subunit ribosomal RNA", at positions 524 to 775 of the family's 1533-position model. The record is from RNAcentral.
UACGGGGGGAGCAAGCGUUGUUCGGAUUUACUGGGCGUAAAGGGCGCGUAGGCGGCCUCCGCAAGUCAAUUGUGAAAUCUCCGGGCUUAACUCGGAAAGGUCAACUGAUACUGCGGGGCUAGAGUGCGGAAGGGGCAACUGGAAUUCUUGGUGUAGCGGUGAAAUGCGUAGAUAUCAAGAGGAACACCUGCGGCGAAGGCGGGUUGCUGGGCCGACACUGACGCUGAGGCGCGAAAGCUAGGGGAGCGAACGG